Grus americana (Whooping crane) is the source of this 2777-nucleotide RNA transcript. It is a transcript of the gene named family with sequence similarity 174 member A, with no coding region annotated. The record is from RefSeq and is a predicted model, not a curated record. The transcript has 4 exons. NCBI's taxonomy places the organism in Eukaryota, Metazoa, Chordata, Aves, Gruiformes, Gruidae.
ACUGUUGAAAUUAUCUAUAUGUGAUUUUACAUGACCCGAUGUGAUUGAUAAACUGAAAAGUUUAAGGCCUCUGGGAUAUCAAAACAAGUCUGCUUAUACAGAAAAUCAGGUUGUUACCCAUGUUACUUCAAAUGCAAAAAUAUUACUGUACAAGGCUUCUUUGGUACUCUGGCAUUUUAUCCAUUUCCUUCUACACUGUGACAAAUGAAAAGACUUCACUGCCAAUGUGGAUUUCCUCUUCUUCUAUAUGCACAUCUGACCCCUGAAAGCCUUUCUGUAGUUUACUGUUCACAAAAAAGGAGCCAAAGAAAUUAAUCUAAUAAUGCACUCUAAUGACUAAAGCAUUAUCCUACCGGAUCAGCAUUUACUUAAGGAACACAUGUGACACAAGCAUAAUAAACAUCACAGCAGAUUCACUCUGUACAAAGUGUUAACAUAAGUCAGGGUCCUGUCCUCCAGGUUCAUGAAUGUCCACUAGCUUCAUACUACAUCGACUGCUCCACACCACCUUUGGUUGUGGUCCACUGUAACACAACCACUUUCCUGAUCUUUCCACUAUUUGACCUCAACUGAAGCAAAAACUGUAGUCUAAGUCUUCAGGCCGUUAUUUUCCUGUUAUUUGCAUAUCUUUUCUUAACCAUUUCACAUAAAGGCUUCAUACAGGAAAAGCCAAGCAGAUCACGAAUGUGGUACCUCAUCACCAGAUCCUUAUCAUCUGGCCAUUACGACUGAGAAAAUAAACGCCCUUUACGAGUCUGACCUCCAAAAGUGACCUCGAAGUAUUGAAAGCCAGAACGCUGCCCGACAGGCCGAAGGGAGAGCAGGCAGCUGUGAGUGCCGCCGUCGGCGGCCACGCCUCUGCGCGCACACUACCCACCCAGCCCCCGUCACGCAGACACCCGCGGGCCCGGCAGCUAACGGGCCCGGCCAACGCACAGCAGCUCACGCGGUCCCGGUAAGGGCUCAGCGGGGGCGGCGGGAGGAGAGAGAGCCGCUUGAGCAGAAAGCAGCACGUUGCAGUGCCGGGGCGACGGGAUCCCCAACGGACGCCGAGAACCCGCGACCGCAGCGGCUUACCUAGCUCCGGCUGCCACCGGGCCCCGCCCACCUGCGCACCAUCUGUCGCCACGUGAUUGCAGCCGGGAGUGGGGCGGGCUGCCCGGCGGCGCUUCCAUGGCAGCGCCGAGCGCCGGGCGCUUCCGCUUCCGGCGGCCAGACGGCAACAGAGCCCGGCCGUGGUUAGGCCGCACCGGGCGGCAGGGGUAAUUGGGGCCCACACUGGGCAGGAGGAGAGGGUGGCAUGUGGCCGCCGCCGCCGCUGCUGAUGACCUGGCUUCUGGCGGGGAUGCUACUGGCUGGCUGUUGCGGGGAUGCUGCAGUGGCGGCCCUUCCCCCCGGGAGUGCCGCCACCGCCUCCCUGCGCCCUACGGAGGUGGCCGGCGGGGGCGCUACGCUAAGCAGCAGCAGCAGCCGCCUGGCCGAAGUGUCGGCGCCGCCCGAGCAGGGCCAGCCCAUGACCCAGCGCGCCCUAUCCGUGCUGGUGCUGGCCAGUGCCGCCCUCAUCGUCUACUUCGUGAUCCGGACCGUGCGGCUCAGAAGGCGGAACAGAAAAACCCGAAGAUACGGAGUUUUGGAUACAAACAUAGAAAACAUGGAGCUAACCCCAUUAGAGCAAGAUGAUGAAGAUGACGAUACAACAUUAUUUGAUGCCAGUCAUCCUCGAAGUUGGAGAAGGGAUGUCAAGAUCACUUGAAUUUUAAAUGGGCGAGAAUUUAGUGGGCAAGAAGAUAAACACCAUUUGUCUUCAGCAUGUGAGUUCCAGAGAAAUGGAGAGGAAGAGAAGUACGUGCCUUUCAGUGAAAGAACUUAAUCUUAGAACCAGAGAAGGAGACUGCUUCAUGGGAGGAAUAAGAAGCAAGAGGGUAUGCAAGUUGGGGGGACUAAUGUAAUUUGUAUAUAUUUUGGCAUCCUUAAUUUGUUGCAAUAAAUACUGUACUAAUUUGUUGUACCUUUUUCUAUAUAGAGGAUUCUAAAUGUAAAGCCUACAGAGAGAGUGCACGAAAUUGAAAACCUAUUUGGAAGGGAGGUUACUUUUAAAACAGGGUAUUUUUUGCUUGUUACAAAUCUUGUAUGCCGUAAGUGUGGUAUACACUUUUUCUACAGUAAUCUGGAAUGUUAACAAAUUUUUUUUCUGAUAUUAACUGUAAGUAAACAUAGCCUCUGUGGAUUCUUCAGAAUUGUUAGAACUUGAUUUUAAUUGAGGAGAUGCUUUGUCCUUUACAAAUAAAAAGCCAAACUACUGCCUUUUGUGUUGAGACUUUUUUAAAACUGAAUUAACAUGUUUUAUGUAAACCUUAGUGAACAAAUAAAAACUGUUUACAGUGUUCCUACUGUUUAGCAUGAUAUUUCAACACUUUUUAGAUUUUAAAGUUAUUAAUAUGAUCUUGUAAAACACAGUACUGUACCAUCUUUUUGCUGUUAAAACUAACGAUUGCAACUAUUGAGUCUUUUUUUUUUUUUGUCUUCUUUUUUCUGAGGUCCAUCUUUAGUUUGUGUGAACAGAUGUUGCUCACCAACUUUAGGGUGCUGCUGGGAAAUCUUUCCUGCUUCUUCCCGUCUUGCUGUUUGAACAAAAUAGGAAUACCUUAUUUGUCUUUGAGGUUAUUUCUGCAGUGAUGGGGUGGGGAGGGGGUCUGCUGUAGACUUCUUUUAACCCUGUACCAACUGUUUUGCUCUACUGAAACCUACUUACUUUGCCGUAGUAACAACUCAGAUGA